Molecule: microRNA precursor, 105 nt
Filed under: Marmota monax (woodchuck)
Lineage: Eukaryota; Metazoa; Chordata; Mammalia; Rodentia; Sciuridae
Source: RNAcentral
AUAGGAAGCAUGGAGGGAUCUUAUCAAAAUGCAGCUUCUGAUAUGGUAAGUUUAAGCCAGGCCUUAAAUUCUGCAUUUCUAACAAGCCCCCCAGGUAAUGUUGAU